CAGCAGCCACGGUAAUACGAAGGGGGCUAGCGUUGUUCGGAAUUACUGGGCGUAAAGCGCACGUAGGCGGAUCGAUCAGUCAGGGGUGAAAUCCCAGGGCUCAACCCUGGAACUGCCUUUGAUACUGUCGAUCUGGAGUAUGGAAGAGGUGAGUGGAAUUCCGAGUGUAGAGGUGAAAUUCGCAGAUAUUCGGAGGAACACCAGUGGCGAAGGCGGCUCACUGGUCCAUCACUGACGCUGAGGUGCGAAAGCGUGGGGAGCAAACAGGAUUAGAUACCCCGGUAGUCCCUGUCUCUUAUAC
This 301-nucleotide ribosomal RNA is filed under the name uncultured bacterium. RNAcentral's name for it is "partial 16S ribosomal RNA". It matches the Rfam family "Bacterial small subunit ribosomal RNA", at positions 509 to 807 of the family's 1533-position model. The record is from RNAcentral.